Molecule: ribosomal RNA, 467 nt
Filed under: uncultured bacterium
Lineage: Bacteria
Description: bacterial SSU rRNA
Rfam family: Bacterial small subunit ribosomal RNA
Source: RNAcentral
GGCUGAACACAUGCAAGUCGAGCGGUAGAGAGAAGCUUGCUUCUCUUGAGAGCGGCGGACGGGUGAGUAAUGCCUAGGAAUCUGCCUGGUAGUGGGGGAUAACGUUCGGAAACGGACGCUAAUACCGCAUACGUCCUACGGGAGAAAGCAGGGGACCUUCGGGCCUUGCGCUAUCAGAUGAGCCUAGGUCGGAUUAGCUAGUUGGUGGGGUAAUGGCUCACCAAGGCGACGAUCCGUAACUGGUCUGAGAGGAUGAUCAGUCACACUGGAACUGAGACACGGUCCAGACUCCUACGGGAGGCAGCAGUGGGGAAUAUUGGACAAUGGGCGAAAGCCUGAUCCAGCCAUGCCGCGUGUGUGAAGAAGGUCUUCGGAUUGUAAAGCACUUUAAGUUGGGAGGAAGGGCAGNUAGCUAAUACCUUGCUGUUUUGACGUUACCGACAGAAUAAGCACCGGCUAACUCUGUG